GAGGAGCAUCAUUAAAUCACUUAACUCCCCGCACGGGAACUCUAUCCAGAAAAUCUCUUCCCCAAAUAUUUAUCUAAGCCUUAACCAAUUUUCUAUAAUGGUGAAGAAAUCAAGGGUGAAAUACAUUUUGUGUCAAUAUUUGGUCUCUUCUGCAGGGAAUAUCGGGGAUCCGGGAUUUGCCGUUCAGGAUAUCUGUGGUCAGAAGGAACAUUCCGUGUAUUCGAGCCCGAAAAAAACCACGGCAAGGACUGCGUUCCAGCGAGGGGCACCUGAGCCUUUUGAUGCUUCACUGGGCAAGGGGGCGAAGGACUGAAAUGGCGUGGGUAAGGAACUUGGUCAGGAGGAUGAGGAUCGAGGUGUUUGCGUGACAUUGGCGUCAACGGCGCACUGCACGGUCGUUAUUGGACUUCUUUUUUCCUGGUUAUUUGAUAUUCAUGCACAUUGACCUAUAGCCAUACAAUAAAUCAUCGCUAUCUCAACCCUCACCCCUUCUGUGGACGCCCAUUCCUCCAGGAGCGACUCAUGUGAGCACCAGGCCAUAGUUCAACAAUCCACCCACAGCCCCAUUAUGUAUUUAUUGUUUUCGCAUUAAGUGGAAGUCAAAGAGGAAUUGCCCCACAUUAUGAAGGGAAUGAUGAAGGGUGAAGCAAAUAAAAAGCUUCUGUGAUAAGAGUUUUAUGUGGAGAGUUUAGGGGCUUUUCCUAAACCCAUUCAGUAUGUCUCAAAGAACAAAUACGAAAUAAGAAAUAAAUUUGUUACUUUAAGCCUAA
Molecule: long non-coding RNA, 770 nt
Organism: Phlebotomus papatasi
Lineage: Eukaryota; Metazoa; Arthropoda; Insecta; Diptera; Psychodidae
Exons: 2
Source: RefSeq, a predicted model, not a curated record